Molecule: long non-coding RNA, 1641 nt
Organism: Physeter macrocephalus (sperm whale)
Lineage: Eukaryota; Metazoa; Chordata; Mammalia; Artiodactyla; Physeteridae
Source: Ensembl
GACAGAAAAGUAGGGAUGGGGGUGGGGGGGAGGUCCAUGCUGAGAGGUGAGAGCCCGGCAGUACCUGGGCGCCCCAGAGCUGAGGCCGGCAGUCGGUCUGAGGGGCGGGAUCGGGAACAGGGAAAACUACGGAAAUGCAGCUUGAAAAGGUAGUGUGUGGAAGAGGCGGUCCAAGGCGGCGUGGACCCCCGAGAAGACUGGGACCAGGCAGCAGCCGCGGCGUGGGCUCCCGGCGCUCCUCCCGCCUCCCAGCCCGUCGCACGCCGAUGCCCCCGCCCACCGCGCCUGCUGCAAGUCAGGGACUCACGAGCAGCAAACAUACCGGGGAACUUGCUCCUCGAGGGGAAGGUGGGCCCGGCAACCUGACCCUGCGCGCAGCCCAGAGAAGCGAAAACUUGUGGAAAUCGGACCAUGCCCUCGGGGUACGGAGUCAAGGACACAGGUCCCCAACGGGCACAAGAAACAGGUAGCAUUCAGCAAGUACGUCACGGGUGACGACGGCGCGGCCCUCCUCUUGGGGCAGGUGACCACAAGGUGGAGCUACAGCGCAACUCUGCACAGCGCGCCUGGGCCACCCGGAACGGUCCCUGUGGCGGCUGCUCUCCUGCUUCCCACUUGCAGCCCUUCAUUGCCCCAGGUGGACCUCUUGCCACCUCCAACCCGCGAUUCUCCCCAUGAUGACCCCUCAAUGUCAUGUCGCAUACAACCCUAGAUUGAAGGUGCAUCCUCCACCCAGCCCCAGCGCUGAAAAGAUUAGACUGUGCCAAAUGGGCAUUCAAUUCAUUGAAUAACCGAUUAACGGACAAGAUUCAGGAACGAAUGUGUCUUGAAGAAAAGACUGUGCACAGCAAAAGCCACCUGUAGGCACAGAAUUACAUGGCUAGAUGGGCUCUUUGGCCCCCAGCCUCUAGGCAGGAAAUCAGAUAAAUUGCAUAUGUCAGGGGAGACAGCCAGGUCGAUAUCUCCAUCAUCUUAUAGUUCUCCAGGAAAGGCCGUGUUGUCAUCUCCUUCAGUCACUGUUCCAAGCUGUCCUGUCCCUGACACCCUGUGCCUUCUACACAAGAACACGUGCACACGGAUCAGAAACAUUCUCUUGGCAAUCUCCUUGUCUCUUCCUCUGUUCUAGUUUCAUUUGGGGAGAAACUUCUGGUGACUCAGUGUCUUCCUAACCACUUCAGGUCAAAAUCCCAAGGGGAACAGAUUCCAUGGAAGCUUGGGGCAUGCCACCAUCUGGGCAGAGGGCCCUCAUAGUUCAAAACCUCCUGCUGGCAAAGUUCACCCCACGCCAACCCCACCAACAUUCCACCUCAGCCAUUCUCUCUUCCUUGCUGUUGGCCAAUGCAGACAGGCCUCAGACUUUGGCUGGUGGGGGUCCAUGACAGGGUGUUCACUCCAUUAUGAAAGCGUUGAUCCUGGUCAGCAGCACUGCUGUUUCUAAGCCUGGGGAGAGGGGCAUAUAGGGAGUGAGCAAGGGGAAGGCUAGAGGAGGAGAAAAAUGAGGUGAGGGGAGAAAGUUCUUACCGGUUCUCUCUCUCUCCUUAGCACAUCUCCUAUAGGGAGAAAAGCUUAUCAUUAUGAGUUCAGCCAGCUUCAAGCACGACCUUUUGACCCCGAGUUCCCCCAGACUGCCUUUCCCAAAAG